CCUACGGGGGGCUGCAGUGGGGAAUAUUGGACAAUGGGGGCAACCCUGAUCCAGCCAUGCCGCGUGUGUGAAGAAGGCCCUCGGGUUGUAAAGCACUUUCAGUGAGGAAGAACGCCUGGUGGUUAAUACCCAUCAGGAAAGACAUCACUCACAGAAGAAGCACCGGCUAACUCCGUGCCAGCAGCCGCGGUAAUACGGAGGGUGCGAGCGUUAAUCGGAAUUACUGGGCGUAAAGCGCGCGUAGGUGGCUUGAUAAGCCGGUUGUGAAAGCCCCGGGCUCAACCUGGGAACGGCAUCCGGAACUGUCAAGCUAGAGUGCAGGAGAGGAAGGUAGAAUUCCCGGUGUAGCGGUGAAAUGCGUAGAGAUCGGGAGGAAUACCAGUGGCGAAGGCGGCCUUCUGGACUGACACCGACACUGAGGUGCGAAAGCGUGGGUAGCAAACAGGAUUAGAUACCCUAGUAGUC
Molecule: ribosomal RNA, 465 nt
Filed under: Vreelandella stevensii
Lineage: Bacteria; Pseudomonadati; Pseudomonadota; Gammaproteobacteria; Oceanospirillales; Halomonadaceae
Description: partial 16S ribosomal RNA
Rfam family: Bacterial small subunit ribosomal RNA
Source: RNAcentral